Molecule: long non-coding RNA, 736 nt
Filed under: Elaeis guineensis (African oil palm)
Lineage: Eukaryota; Viridiplantae; Streptophyta; Magnoliopsida; Arecales; Arecaceae
Description: long non-coding RNA (EGUI_LNC039955)
Source: RNAcentral
UUUUCUAUUUCUUGCUUUGCUCCCCCUUUACCAAUGCUUUCUUUUCUUUUAUUUCUUUCCUUUUUUUCUUUGUUCAGCUUUCCCUUAGUUGCAAAUUUCUUUCUCCUUUCUUGUUUCUUUUUCUUCUUCAUCUUAUCCUCAUGAGCCACGAGACAAAAGUUGGGGACUUCUUCCUUUUCUUUUUUAGAGCUUAAUUCUUUUACUUGAUUUGCUUCAUCAUAGUGGCUUCUACUUGAUCACACACUUCUUUAGCUAAAAUAUAAGAAGAAAUUAUAUUAAAUUUAUUUAUAUCUAAUGAGCAAUAAAGAAUAUUCAUAACUUUUACAUUCAGUUGGGCUAUUUCCUUAUCAUAUUCAUCUCAUUCUCUUUUGAGUUUAGGAAAAGCAAUGCCAUCAAGCAAAAUAGUGCAUGAGUGAGGUCUAUUCAUUAUAAUUCUCUAUAAAUUAUAAUUAAGUGUUUGAAUAAAUUUUUUUUUCUAGCCUUCCAAUAAAUAUAAUCAAAUCCACUAAAAAGAGAUGGCCUAACAAUGGAAUAUUCUUUAUCAAAAGUCAUUCUAAAAGAUGCCAUGAUCUUUUGCUCUAGAUGGUUAAGUGUACAAAAGAUAAAAGAGUACUUGCUCUAAUACCACUUAUUUCUCAGAGGAGGCAACCCAAGAAGGAGAGUGAGUUAGAUUUUGUAAAAAUAAAUUUUACAACUUGUGCCUAAAAAUAAUUCUAAGAGUAUUCAUGGAGUACUU